RNAcentral lists this ribosomal RNA (117 nucleotides) under Christensenellaceae bacterium. Lineage: Bacteria; Bacillati; Bacillota; Clostridia; Christensenellales; Christensenellaceae. The record is from RNAcentral.
UCCGGUGAUAAUUGCUAAGGGGACCCACCCGUUCUCAUCCCGAACACGGAAGUUAAGCCCUUAUACGCCGACAAUACUUGGUUGGAGACGACCCGGGAAGAUAGGAAGUUGCCGGUU